GGCUCGUUGGUCUAGGGGUAUGAUUCUCGCUUUGGGUAGAGCGUCCGGGUUCAAAUCCCAGACGAGCCC
RNAcentral lists this transfer RNA (69 nucleotides) under Perca fluviatilis (European perch). RNAcentral describes it as "tRNA-OTHER". It matches the Rfam family "tRNA". From Rfam's summary of the family: Transfer RNA (tRNA) molecules are approximately 80 nucleotides in length. The record is from RNAcentral. Lineage: Eukaryota; Metazoa; Chordata; Actinopteri; Perciformes; Percidae.